AUUAUCUUGGACCCUUCGAGUUGUUGGGUAAGAUCCAACCGCAUGAUCCGCCUUUCACCGAAGAUUUACCGCGGUUGAACGCACCCAAUUUUUACUACCAUCAAGAAGACAUCCUCUUUGAAGAAAUCGAGAAGAAAGAAGGAUUAACCUGGUCGGUGCACCGACCCGCAAUCAUAUUCGGGUUUUCGCCUUACAGUUUAAUGAACCUCGUUGGCAGUCUUUGCGUUUACGCGGCCAUUUGCAAAUACGAAGGCAAACCGUUACACUUUCCUGGGAGCAAAGCCGCUUGGAACUGUUACUUUGAAGCUUCGGAUGCGGAUUUGAUUGCGGAGCAACAUAUAUGGGCGGCAGUGGAUCCGUACGCCAAAAACGAAGCCUUUAAUGUGACUAAUGGGGAUGUUUUCAAGUGGAAGCAUUUGUGGAGCGUUUUGGCAGAGCAAUUUGGGAUAGAAGAAUUUGGGUUCGUGGAAGGGGAGAACCGGGGGUUGGAGGAGAUGAUGAAAGGGAAGGAAGGAGUUUGGGAAGAAAUAGUGAAGGAGAACCAGUUGCAGAAGACGAGUUUGCAGGAGGUGGGAAACUUGUGGUUUUUGGAUGUGGUGUUUUUGGCUCCGCUGCAGUUGCCGCUGCUCAGUAUGAAUAAGAGCAAGGAGCAUGGAUUUUUGGGGUUUAGGAAUUCCCGGAAUUCAUUUGUUACUUGGAUUGAUAAGAUGAAGGCUUACAAGAUUGUGCCUUGAUCUCAUUCAAUCUCUUGUUUCAAAUUGUUUCCUUGUUUUUUCAGAUGAAGAAGAAAUUUCUGUUGUUUUACUUCUAAAAUAAGUUCGUAGGGUAAGCUAUUAAUUGGCAUUCAACCGUAAGAUGUCAGAAACAAUUGCUUACCUUCAAAGAGAAGCUUCUGUUGUAUUUGUGAAAAUGCUGUGUGGUUUUCUUUUCCUUUAUUUGUUUAUGAUGCAUUGUUUAUUCUAUUUUGUAGAAUCUUGAAUUAUACUAUUUAUUACUUGUUGAUUAGACAAAGUCUAGGCAAAUUUAUUGCGUAUCAGUUCAAUAUCAUGGUUAAUAGUUUCUGCCUGUGGUAAUGCUGUUAUAUGAUUAGCUUCCGUCAAGUGAUUAUACAUUUUAUAAUCAGCCUUGUUAUUUUCCUGGUUUUAGCUUAUAGUUUUGAAUUACACUUUCAGUUUUAGUCUUAGAUUUUUGGAAGCUUACUUUGUUUGAUUAGUUGCCUUCACUGUAUCUUCGUAGUGGUGCUUGAGAUAUGACCGUGGGGGAUGAUGACUACCAGUUAUGAAAAGGUUUGCAAGUGGUCCAUAUGGUAGACAUUCCCUAGGCGGAUGAGGGGUAAAUUCACAUUGGCUUUUUAACAGCACAAAUGAUUCUGAGCUGAUACCCACCUUAAAGAACUUGCAGAGUUAAUAGGCAGGGAACUAUAUGGUGGUAACUUGUUCACCCAUUUGAGUUACUGUAUACUGAUAAUCUGUUCACCUACCUGUACUUUUCUUAUUUAAGUUUGUUUAAGGACCCUCUCUAACUUGACAACAGAGGAGAGGCUGAUCCAUCCAUUUGUUUCCCAAAUGGUGUGUUGAUUACUUUGUUAUUAUCUGGUGAACCUUGACAGCUACAUUUCGCAAUCAUAUAAUUAAUUUAGCUGUAAAUGAGUUAAAAAGUAGAUAAAAGUAUCCUCGAAACCUUGAUACUAGAAUGUAGGUAGGAUUUUGUCUUUUAUUAUAUGUUGGAUUAAGAAAUAAAUUGGUCAUUUUGUUAACAACUGUCUGGUCAUUUCAUUAGGCACGUCAAUUUUUAAAGGUAAAAAUUGAUAAAAUUUCUAUCAAAAAAUAUUAAUCUGCUAUUUGAUAUUAAGUAUAAGGAUUAAUUUAUCAAAUUUAGGGUAAAAUGUAAUAUGGUUUCUAGUACAAGGAUUUCUAUAGUUCUUUUACAAGUAAAAGUACAAUAAAAGCUUUUGUAGGAGUCUUUAUUUAAAAAAUAGAUAAAUUAAUUCUUGUACAUUAAAAUAAAUGGAUUCUUACAAAAAAAAAUUUAAUCUUUCUAUUGUUAAAAAUUAAUCUAUGUACGUUUUGUGUAAUAAUUUAUUAUUUUGUCUAAUUUUUAUUAGAAGAAAUGAAUGAAAUUUUUAACAGAAAUAAUUAUUAUUAUCUAAUAUAAAAGAAUUAAUUUAUUUAAUUUUAGAGUAUAAAUCACAAAAUAUAAUUUAACUCUUAAUACAGAAAUUUAUGUAAUAAUUUUAUGUUGUGAACUUAAAGAUUCUUGCCCUCAACUCUCAACUCUCAACUCUCAAAUUACUUAUAUAAAAUGGAAUUUUAAUCAAGAUUUAAUAUAAAUAAAUCUCAAGGUUAGGUAAAUAAAAGUGUUUGAACGAAAAUUUAGUGUAAAUAAAUUUCAAAGUAACUACGUAAAAAGGGGUCCAACCAAGACUUAAUGUUAGAUAAGAAUUUAAUUAAGUCAUUGAACAAUACGUCAGCUAUUACUUAUUGGUUUGGGAAAAUACUGCAAAAGUAGCGUAGAUUCCUCCUUUACCCUGUCAUUCAUGAUUCAAUCAGGGAUAACAAGUACAAGAAAAUUUGGUGGAUGCUGCAGCUUCUCCACAAUAACAAGUAAAAGAAACAGGGAGAGGGUUUAAAUUUUUUUUAAGGAUGGAUAUUAAAUUGUAAUUUUAUAGUAGUUAAAUAUGAUUUUAUUUUUGAAUAAAUUAUAUUUUUAUAAUUUUUUAAAAUAUUAAAUUAAAUAUUUAUUAUUUUUAGAGAGCUAAAAUAUAAUUUUACUUUAUUAAUUUGUGAAACCUCCUCACAAGAUGAAAAAAAUCAUUUAGCCCUGGUUUGGAACUUUUUCUUUUUCAGUUUUAAGUACUGAACAUGGCAAGCUCAACAUCCGCUUCAAUUCAUUGGUAUGAGCAAUGACCUCCACAUUUUCCAAGUUAAGAAGUUUCACAAGAUUCAAAUUGACCAAAUUAGAGGGGCCCAUUAAGGGAGGGAUAGGACAGUGUUCCUUCCAAAAUGGUAAGAUCUUUGGCGCAAGAAAAAGGGGCUGAUCCGUAUCAUCUUGACUUAGUUCUGAUUUCUCUAUUUUUUAAGAAUACCGCUUCUCCUACUCAUAUUGAAUAGAACAUGCUGAGGCAAACCUUCUUCAUGUAAAACCUGCUUGAUUUAGAUCGGGAAAAUUGUACGGUUUUAUGAAACCAUGUGUAUAUGGCUCGAAUCCGUAGUCAAUCCUAUUUCCGAUAGGAGCAGUUGACAAUUGAAUCAAACUUUUUCCAUUAUUUUCAUAUCCGUAAUAGUGCGAAAAGAAAGCCUGGCUCCAAGUUGUUCAAGAAUAGUGGCGUUGUUGAGUUUCUCAAUCCUUUUGACUUAGAAUUAGUCAGUUCUAUUUCUUGAUGGGGGAGGGAUAUAACUCAGCGGUAACAACAAAUUGCUUUUGUCUACUCCAAUGAUAUAAAAUUUAGGAUUGAAUUGAGAGAAAAUGUAAAUACCAAAAAUUUAGGUCAAUUUUUCUCAAAUAAUAACUAAACUAUGUAAUUUGAAAAUGUUAAAUUACUAAAUGGAUAAAAUUAAAAUUUACCCUAAUUCAAUGAUAUAAAACUAAUAUCAAUGUCACAUAUUCCUUUUGAUUAUCAUAAUAUUUAUUUUUAUACCUAUUUCACUCUUAUAUUUUAAUAUUUUAGCCACAUCUUAACCUAUAACGAAAGUGAACAGUAGUGUUUGAUUAGCGUAACUCGUCUUGGUUUCUGGCUUUAACUACACUGCCUCUACUGUAACCGAAACCAUACUGUUGAACAACAUCAAUGCCAACCGUAUCGCAUGCAAUUAUAUAUGGCUUUAAAUCUACUUUUAAAAUUUUAUUCAGUAAACAUUCAUGACAUGGCAUUUGAUUAUUAUAAACCCAUUUGAUAAAGCUUAAAUUUGCCUUUUUUGCACAAUUAUGAUAUGUUCAAGAUACGCGCAGAGUUGUGACCAACUUAAAAGGUUUUACAACUACAAUAUUUAAAGCUAUUUAAAGUUCAAAAUAAGCACACCCGACACCUUAAAUUUAUGUUUGUUUCACGUCUUAAUAGAGAAAAUGUUGAAUUAUUUUACUCAUGAACUUUUAGUGAUAAUGUUGAUGUGGUUCUUCUAACAAUGGAUGGAGCUUGAAAUAAUGUUAAGUUUGAAAACUCAAGGUUUGUGCAAAAUUAACGUGAGUAAGGAGAUCAGCAUCCAAAUUUAUUCUCCUAAUUACUUAUCCAACUACACAAAGGGCUGCCUAGAGACUGUUCAUUCAUCCAUCAUCUUACCAUUUAUGUUGCUUAAUCACCGGUGUUGAUGGUGUAAUGGCCUAAAUUCAAAGUUAUCGAAACAAUAGUUUCAUAACCACAAAUCCGAUUUAAAGAGAAAUUUAUUUCAAUAUUUUUACAUGAAAAUUGAUAUGAUAGGAAAAUCGUAUGAAAAUAUUGAUAGAAAAUUUUACCGAUUUAAUGGUUAGUUAGAAAAAGAAAUUAUUAAAGAAAUUGAGUAAAAACAAGGUAUCGAGACUUCUAUCUCGUAAAACCGAUUCGAAAAUAAUUUUAUAAAUAUUUAUGAAAUGUUAUUAAUGUGGUAUUAAAAUUUCGUUAGGAAAUUUUAAUGUUUGGGUAGUCAAUUAAAUGAAAAGGACUAAAUUGUAAUAGGUGUAAAGUUGCUAGAAUGAUUAAAUAGCUUAAGAGUCUAAUGAGAAAGGAUUUAAAAGGAAAUUAGACCCAAAAGUUAUUUGGACUGGACGGCAAUGAUAUAAAAUCAGCAGAAAAAUUGAUAAAUUAAGGGUAAAUUUGGAAUAUUGCAAAAUUAACUAAAUAAAGCUAGGAUUAAAUAGGAAAUAUCUAGAUUUCUCUUCAUUUUUCUUCAAUUCCAGCAGCUAAAAAUGCCAUAAGAGGGUUCUCUAAGCUGGUAUUUCAUAAUUUUUGCACCAAGCGAGCUAAACCUUGCCUUUUUCUUGUAAUUUUUGUGUUUCUAAGACUUUUGCAACUAGGUCCUACUAUUAAAUUCAUUAGUUUUUGAUUUCAUGGAUGAAAUUGAAAGUCACCAUGAUUGAGUUCUGUAAUUUUAUGAUGAAAUGGAAUGAAAUUAAAGCUUUAAUUUGUUUAUGAGAUUAUUUUAUUAGGUAAUUUCAAUAGAAAUUAAUUUUUAGGACCUAAUUGUGGAAAUGUUUGAAAUUAAAGCCUAUUGCUGAAAUUCUGAUUUUUAAGGGUUGUAAACUAGUUUAAAGUGAUAUAAUAAAGUGUUAAUUGAGAAAAAUCAUCUCAAUUGAGAGGCUAAUUGAGUAGGGACAAAAUUGUUAUUUAUUAAAAGCUUAGGGGAAAAAUGGUAAUAAACGGCUUGCACUAACAAUAUUGGACAGCAGCAGUAGACUAACUUUGAAAAAUCACCAUAAAUUGUAGGAAUCGAAUUAGAAGAUGAACAAAACAUGAAAUUAAAUCUUAUUGAGUCUAGUUUCUCAUAGAAUAAACAUGUAAGCAAUGGAUUUGUAAAUUUUGAGAUAUAAUAAAUUUUGUGAGACAAGGUCAGAAUGAAUUCGAGUUCCCCUGUUUUGACUUUGAAAAAUCAUAAAAAAAUGAAUAAAAAUAAUUAGGGGCUUAAAUUUAUAUGUAUAGAAUCCUGAAUGAGUAUAUUUUCAAGAGAAAUAAAUGAGAACAUCAUCCAAAUUCUGUAUGAAGAGAUAAUUAAUUUUUAGUGAAGAAGGGUCAGAACUGUUGGACAGAUGAAAAGGGGUGACUUUAAAGAAUAAACUGUACUUAUUGGCUAAACCAAAAAUUCUGAAAAUUUUAUGGUAAGAAGAUAUGUGAGUCUAGUUUCAGAGAAAAUUAUCGGAUCCUAAUUUGUAGUUCUGCAGCUCAAGAUAAAAAUAAUUUAGUGACUAUGACUCAAGUAGACAGCUUUGAAUGAACUAUAAAUAAUAGUUGAAUUAUAGAGAAUGUUGCAUAUGAACAUGAAAUGUAUUAAAUUGAUAAUUAAAUUUAUUUAUUUAGAUCCAAAAUAUUCAAAUACGAAGCUAGAUCGAGGAAAGGAAAAAGUUCAGGAUUAGUAGAUUUUUUGUUUACAAACAAGUAUCAAGGUAAGUUCGUGUAACUUGAAUUAUAUUCUUAAAUGCUUGAAAUGUAUGUUAUUGAUGUGAAUAUGAUUUGAAUGUUCAUUGUAUGAAAAUUGAUGAAACAUUGAUAUAUUUGAUAAAAAGCGGAAGAAAUCCCUAUUGGAUGGAAGGAAAAUUCGAUGGAUCUCUGAAAAAUAAUUGACGGUAAAAAAGGAUCUAGCCCGAACGGGUGAUCCUAUCCUGAUAUAGCCCUCCCGAAGAAUAUGUGGAAAAUGGAUUUAGCCCGGACGGGUAAUCCGAAUUAGGGUCUGAAUUUAGCCUGGGCUGGUAAUUCAGAUCCAAGCUCAUUAGAGUAAUUGUCGUUGCAGGGGAUUUAGCCUGAACUGGUAAUCCCGACAAUACUCUAUGUGUAACGGCCUAAUUUUCAGUGGUGUCGGAAAUGGUGAUUUGAGAUCACUAAAUCCGACAAAUAAGAUUGAACAAGAUAGUAAUUAAAUAUUUAUGAGUCAAGUAAGAAUUUAGAAGAAUUUGUGAAAUGAUGAAAUUAAUGAAUUAAAAGAAUUUAUUAGGUCAAACGGGUCAAAAAUGAGGUAUUGAGACCUCGAAUUUGAAAAUCAAGCUAUAAAAUAUUUUUAUAAAUAUUUAUAAAGUUUCAUUUAGCUAGUAUUAAAGUUUGGUUGAGAAAUUUUAACGAUUAGGUAGUCAAUUAAAUAAAAAGGACUAAAUUGUAAUAAAAAUAAAUUUUGCUAAAAGGAUUAAAUAGCUCAAGUGUUAAAAGAAGGAAGAUUUAAAGGGAAAUUAAGCCUAAAAGUGAAUAGGCUGGACGGCAAAGGCAAGAAAAUCAGCAGAAAAAUAAGGGAAAUAAGGGCAAAAUUGGAAAUUUUACAACUUUAACAUAUAAAAUAAGAAUAAAAUUGAAGAAUCUAGAGAUCUCUUCAUAUUUUAUCAGCCAAAACGCCAUAGAAGGUCUGGAGAAAGCUGGUUUUUCAUAUUUUACAUCAUGUAAGUUUAAUUCUUUCUUUUUUCUUGAUAAUUUUUAUGUUUUUGUGACUUUUACAACUAGGUCCAUAUGUUUAAUUCAUUAGUUUUUGAUUAUAUGGAUAAUUUUGAAAGUUUCCAUGAAUAAGUGCUGAAAUUUUAUGAUGAUUUAUCAUGGAAUUGAGGUUUUAAUUCUAUUAUAUAAUGAUUUUAUGAAGAGAUUUUCAUAGAAAUCAUUAUUUAGGACCUAAUUGUGAAAGUUAUAAAAUUAGGGUUUUGUGAUGAAACUUUGAAUGUCAAAGGCUGUGAAAUAGUUUAUAAUGUUUAAAUAAAGUGUUAUUUGAGAAGAAUUAGUUCAAUUGAUGAAUAAAUUGAGCAGAGACUAAAUUGUAAAAAUUGAAAAGUUUAGGGUAAUUGUGUAAUUUCGGCAAUUUAAGGGCAUAAAUUGUGAAAUAGAAUAGAAUUGAAAUGGAUGCUAAUGAAGGAAUGAUUUUAUAAUUAUAGAUCAAGAAAACGAACUGAAUCGUGGAAAGGAGAAAAUUCAAGAAUAGUCCCUAAAUUUCUACGACUUUUGCAAAUUAGUCCAGGUAAGUUCAUGUGGCAAAGUUCAAUGUUUUGAUAUGAAAAUCUUAUGAUUGUUAAAGUAUUUUAUUGUUGAUGAAUACUAUCAAUUUGCAUUAACUAAUAAAUAAUGUGUAACUAAAAGUACAAAUUAGUAGGAACAAUGGAUUUGAGUGCUUCUAUUCUGUGACCCUGAUGAAUUGACGAAAAAUAUGUGAUAAGUGCGCCCGUUUAAGACCAUAGCUGGGCUAUGGCAUCGGUGCAAUGUGAUAAUGUGACUCCAUAUAAGACCAUAGCUGGGCUAUGGCAUCGGUAUAAUGUGAUAAUGUGAUUCCGUAUAAGACCAUGUCUGGGAUAUGGCUUCGGUAUGAUAUGUGAACCGUGUAAGACCAUGGCAAGGCUAUGGCUUCGGUGUGUGAUGCGUAACAAUGUGAAAGUCCAUAGUUUACUAUGGCAAUGUGAUAAUGAAGCACUCAAUUCCCUUAUUGUUCCCUAAUUUGACAAUGAAGUAAAUGAGAAAUGGGCCUAAGGGAGUUAAAUUGUGAGUAGCCAUAUGGAAAUUAUUCCAAUGAGUUAUUAAUGAAAUUGUGAUUUGGAGGAUGAAAUAGUUAAACUAAUAGAUAUAUGAUUGUGUACAAUAUUUGAUAUGAUUUGUGUUUUUAUGCCUAUGAGCUUACUAAGCUUCAAUAAGCUUAUUUGUGUGUGUUUGAUAAUUUCUUUUGUAGAUUGAAUUAAAGAGAAGUUGGUAGAUCGGAUCAACACAACAGGGCACACUAUUCAGAUCAAUUCCGGUAGUUUUUGUUUUAUGUUUAAGAUUUAUAUGGCAUGUAUAGAGUUUGAAUGAAUUGAAGUAAAGAUGUUAUAAACUAGUUAACAAUAUUUGUACUAAAACAGUUUUUGGUAAGUAGCAGUAGUUUGACUUUGAAAAUUCACCAUAAAUUGUGGAAAUUGAGUUAAGGGCUGAGAAAAAAAUGAGAUUAAAGCCUAAUUAGUCUAGUUUCAUAUAGAGGAAACGGUGCAUGCAAUUGGAUUUUAUGUUAUGAGAUAUUUAAAUUGUGGUGAGACAGAGUCUGAAUGACUUCGAGUUCCCCUGUUCUGAUUUUAGAAAAUCAUUAAAAAUUUUACAAAAAUAAUUAUGAGUCAUACUGUAUAUGUAUGGAUUCCUCAUUGGGUCUAUUUUUAAGAUAAACAAAUGGCAUGUUUAUUUGAAUUUUGUACAGAGAGAAAUUUGGUUCAUAGUGCAUAGGGGUCAAAGUAGCCAAACCCUGAAAUAGGGGAGGAUUUAACUAAUAAACUGUACUAAUUGGACCAACCAAAAAUUAUAUAAAAAAAUUGGUAAGUAUAUAUAUGAGUAUAAAUUUUGGGAAAAUUUACGAAUUUCGAUUUCGAGUUUUAUAACUCGAGAUAUGAAUUAUUUAGCAACUAUGACGCAGUUGGAGAGCUUGUCUAAAAAGUAUGAUAUAAAUUAUCUGAAUUUGGUUAAGUGCUCAAAUAAGUUUAGUAGUGCCUUGUGCUCGACUUCGGCAACGGUCUCGGGUAAGGUGCGUUACACUAUGAGUUUAUAUUACAGGGGAUUUAGCCUGGACUGGUAAUCCCGCUGCAAGGUUGAGGUUCGCGGGAGUGUGCUCCCUGAAAUGGAAAUGUGCGCACAUGAAUAUGAUUUGACGGACCCGGAAUUGUAAACUAAAAGUGUACCUCUGAAAAAUCCAUCGAAAUUCCGAUAAAUUCAACGGGAUAAAUAUGGAAAAAUAACAAGAAAAUGGAAAUCAUGGUAUUGAUGAACACAUCAAUCAUGGUAUAUAUUAUUGGUACAUGAAAAUUAUUGUACUAACUUAAAUGUUGAGUUUGUAAAUGUUAGGGUAAUAAUGCAUUGAAUGGAUAUAGGAGUGUUUAUUGUAUUGUAUUGAAAAUAUUAGGUAAGUAUAAUUCUUGUUACAUGAGCUUACUAAGCACAAAGUGCUUACCCCAUUUCCUUUUCCUCUGUUUUGUAGUGUUAAGAGCUCGGAGAUCGGAUUUGGUCGGAGACACAUCACACUAUCAACCUUAGGACUUCGGAAUAUAAAGAAACUUUAUUUUGGAAAUUAAUGGCAUGUAUAAGCUAUUAAAGUAAAUGAUUCUAUGAAAUGAAUGUAAGGUCAGCCAAUGGUAUGGCUAACAAAUCUUGGUUUAGUUAUGUGAUAAGGUUAUCUUAUAAAAAUGCAUGAAUCUAUCUUGAAAAUAUGUUGAAUUGGAUUGGUUGAUUUGAAUUGAUCUCGAUAUAAUAUUGCAGGGAAGGUUAGAUAUCUGUAAAGGGAUUAUAUUGAGUUUUUCAAAAAAAAAAAUUAAUUCGUAAACUCCGGUAAUACCUCGUACCCUAUUCCGGCAAUGAAUACGGGUAGGGGGUAUUACAGAUGGUGUUGUGUUCGGCUUUUUUAUUUAAAUAACCCAAAUAAUUUAAUUAAGUACUAAAAUGAUUCAUCUUUUUAAUUAAACAUCAAAAUAAGUUGAAAUCUACAGUAAAAGUUAGUAGAGUCAAAUUAUAUUGCGCCACCAACUUGCCACGUCAGCAGGGAGCAUAAAAAAAUUAAUUUUUUGGUGGAGCCAUGUAAAAUAGCGUCACCUGUAUAAAUACGAUGAAAAUGCUACAAGUUCUAGAAAAAUAGGGGGCUUCAAAGCAAUUUUCCAUUUUCUGGUGGAGCCAACUUAAAUGGCGUCACCACACACCCUUCUUUUACUUUUUUUUUUAAUAAAAAUUUUUAAAAAGGUUUUUAAAAGAAUUUUUAUAAAAAAUUUAUUUAAAAAUUUUAAAUGUUUAAAUAUUAUUAAAAAUAUAUUUAAUAUUUAAAAAUAAUAUUUAAUAUUUUAAAAAAUAAUUUCAAAAAUAUAUAUUUCAAAUUUAAAAGUAUAUUUUUGAAAUUAUUUUAUUUUAUUUUAAAAUAUAUUUUUAAAAAUAUAUUUAAAAUUUAAAAUUUAGAAAAAUUAAUUUCAAAAACAUAUUUUUAAAAUAUAUAAGACAUAUUUUCAAAAAAAUAAUAUUCAAAAUUUUUAAAAAAAUUUAAAAAUAAUAUUUAAAAUUUUAAAAAAUAUAUAUUAUAAAACAUUUCAAAUAUACAUGUCAAAAUUUUUAAAAUUAAUAACAAAAAAUAAAUAAAAUAAAUAAACAAAAUAAAAAAAUAUAAAACUCAAAAAAAGAAAAAAAAUUAAAGAAAAAAGACAAAAGUUAAAUAAAAAAGUACAAAAAAAAAAGUAAAAGAAGGGUGUCAGGUGGUGGCUAAGUUGGCUCCACCAGAAAAUAGAAAAUUAUUUUGAAGUCCUCUAUUUUUUUAGAAUUUGUAGUAUUUUCAUGAUAUUUAUAGAAGUGACGUCAUUUUAAAUGGCUCCACUAAAAAAUUAAUUUUUUAUGCUCCCUGCUGAUGUGGCAAGUUAAUCGCGUCAUAUAAUUUGGCUCCACCAACUUUUAUUGUAGAUUUCAAGUUAUUUUAAUAUUUAAUUAAAAAAGUGGAUCAUUUUAAUAAUUAAUUAAAUUAUUUGAGUUAUUUAAAUAAAAAAAAGAGCCUGUUCUAACACUAAGGUUUUGUUUGAUAGAGAGAAAAGAAGAUUAAAAAGGUGAAAAUUUUAAGGGUUAGAAAAAUAGAAAGAUAGAAAAUAUAUAAAUGGAAAGAAGAAAAAUAAAAUAUAAUUUUGAAUUAAAUUAGUAAGUCUUUCCCUCUAAUUGUUGGUGGAAAUUUUGCUUAUCCAGAGUAGGUGCUGGCUGCGCUCCUAUUUUCUUUUCAAAUCCCUUUAGUCUUCAUAUGUGAAUCCCAAACAUCGUCACUGCUCUCCUCAAACCUUUUGUCGUUUUCAUUAAGUGCAUGUUAUAAAUAACCAAGAACAAAAUCCUUUCCAAUCCAAUAUUUCAAAUCCCUUUAAUCUUCUUGAUCAAUAAAACACCCCACCCAGAUUGUUAGUUUGCAAUCCCAUCAAAUCAUCUAUCAUCAAUUGCCUAACGUUUCCUUUUUGGUUUAUUGCCGUCUCCCAUAAAUCUAAUCUAAGUUGUUUUAAAGAAAUAAAAUGAGCUGGUGGUGGGCUGGUGCUAUCGGAGCUGCUAAGGCAACUCUCUUUUUUCAUUGGCUUGCUGGAUUUCUGUUUACCCUUCACGAAAUUGAUUCUUUUUCUUUGUUUUAAUUUUUGCAGAAGAAAUUUGAGGAAGAUGAAGCACCGAAAAGCCUCAAGAGCGUUGGGCUGAUCAUUGGAGUCACCGGCAUAGUUGGCAAUAGCUUGGCUGAAAUCCUCCCGUUAUCCGACACUCCCGGCGGCCCAUGGAAAGUAUACGGGGUGGCUCGUCGGCCCAGACCCAACUGGAACGUCGACCAUCCAAUCGAGUACAUUCAAUGCGAUGUAUCCGACCCGAAUGAUACCGAAUCGAAGCUCUCUCAACUUACCGACGUCACCCAUAUCUUCUACGUCACCUGGACCAACCGAACAUCCGAAGCCGAGAAUUGUGAGAUCAACGGUUCCAUGCUUCGCAAUGUUUUGCGUUCCGUGAUCCCAAACGCACCCAAUCUCCGCCACAUCUGUCUACAAACAGGAGUCAAACAUUAUCUUGGACCGUUCGAGUUGUUGGGUAAAAUCCAACUGCAUGAGUCGCCUUUCACUGAAGAUUUACCGCGGUUGAAUGCUCCCAAUUUUUACUACCAUCAAGAAGACAUCCUCUUUGAAGAAAUCGAGAAAAAAGAAGGAUUAACCUGGUCGGUGCACCGACCCGCAGUCAUAUUCGGGUUUUCGCCUUACAGUUUAAUGAACCUCGUUGGCAGUCUUUGCGUUUACGCGGCCUUUUGCAAACACGAAGGCAAACCGUUAUACUUUCCUGGGAGCAAAGCCGCUUGGAACUGUUAUUUUGAAGUUUC
RNAcentral lists this long non-coding RNA (12449 nucleotides) under Gossypium barbadense (sea-island cotton). RNAcentral's name for it is "long non-coding RNA (GBAR_LNC003894)". The record is from RNAcentral. Lineage: Eukaryota; Viridiplantae; Streptophyta; Magnoliopsida; Malvales; Malvaceae.